GCAUAUCAAUAAGCGGAGGAAAAGAAACUAACAAGGAUUCCCCUAGUAACGGCGAGUGAAGCGGGAUGGGCUCAAGCUUAAAAUCUCCGUGCAAUUUUUGCACGGCGAAUUGUAGUCUAUAGAGGCGUGGUCAGUAUAAGCACUUGGGGUAAGUUCCUUGGAAAAGGACAGCAUGGAGGGUGAUACUCCCGUUCAUCUCUAAGUUGCUUGUGCGUACGACCCGUUUUCUUUGAGUCGCGUUGUUUGAGAAUGCAGCGCAAAGUAGGUGGUAAAUUCCAUCUAAAGCUAAAUAUUGGUGCGAGACCGAUAGCAAACAAGUACCGUGAGGGAAAGAUGAAAAGAACUUUGAAAAUAGAGUUAAAGAGUACCUGAAACUGCUGAAAGGGAACCAAAUCGUUUCCAGUGUCUAUAAUCCGUGGUAUAUUUCAUUGGCGAGUGUGUGCGUGCGUGUGCUGUUGCAGUGGCUUUUUGGCUGCGCUCAGUGUGUGUGCUGUGUGUACUUGCUGGUGCCCUGUGCUACGGUGGGACGUCAAGGUCAGUUCGUAUGCUGCGGGAAAUGGCUACUGAGGAGGUAGGGCUUACGCUUGCGUUUGUCUGUUAUAUCUUGGUGGACGAGUCGUCGCGGUUGGGACUGAGGUGUCUACAACGUGCUUUUGAGUGGGCUUGGGUCUCCGUGUGCGCCGUGUGCGGAUAGCUUGCUAUGCGUGUGUGGUUGUAUGUGGAUUGAUGCGAGCCGUAACUUGUAGUCGUUCGGGACGUUGACGAAAUGGAGCGAUUUGACCCGUCUUGAAACACGGACCAA
RNAcentral lists this ribosomal RNA (802 nucleotides) under Plasmopara obducens. Its description in RNAcentral is "LSU rRNA". It matches the Rfam family "Eukaryotic large subunit ribosomal RNA", at positions 38 to 669 of the family's 3401-position model. The record is from RNAcentral. Lineage: Eukaryota; Oomycota; Peronosporomycetes; Peronosporales; Peronosporaceae.